GCGUUGAUGGUAUACCGAUAAGCAUAGCUGUUUUCUAAGCAGUUAAUCCGGGUUCGAUUCCCGGCCAAAGCA
RNAcentral lists this transfer RNA (72 nucleotides) under Loxodonta africana (African savanna elephant). It matches the Rfam family "tRNA". From Rfam's summary of the family: Transfer RNA (tRNA) molecules are approximately 80 nucleotides in length. Lineage: Eukaryota; Metazoa; Chordata; Mammalia; Proboscidea; Elephantidae. The record is from Rfam by way of RNAcentral.